CCCUGCUUGGCUGGGAAUAUGAAAGCGGGUAGGGUGCUUGCACAGUCCCGGUGAGCCACCAGCAGUGGUUCCCUCGUGCGGCCUGUUCUGCGGCCCUGCUAGGGAGGACUCGAACCCGCUUCGGAAAUAUUAAGAAGACGUGAUUUCCAAAGCCCAUUAUGAAAACAUUUGUCAUUGGAAUUGGUGGCGUGACAAAUGGUGGGAAGACAACCCUGGCUAAGAACUUGCAGAAACACCUUCCCAAUUGCAGCAUAAUAUCCCAGGAUGACUUCUUCAAGCCAGAGUGUGAGAUAGACACAGAUGAAAAUGGAUUUUUGCAGUAUGAUGUGCUCGAAGCGCUUAACAUGGAAAAAAUGAUGUCAGCCGUUUCAUGUUGGAUGGAAAACCCAGGACACUCUGUGGGACGAGUAGCCUUGGAAAGUGCUCAAGGCAUUCCCAUCUUAAUUAUCGAAGGUUUCCUUCUCUUUAACUAUAGGCCACUGGACACCAUAUGGAACAGAAGUUACUUCCUAACCAUUCCCUAUGAAGAAUGUAAGAGGAGGAGGAGUACAAGGGUGUAUGAGCCUCCUGACCCCCCAGGGUAUUUUGAUGGUCACGUGUGGCCCAUGUACCUAAAGCACAAACAAGAAAUGAACGCCAUCACCUGGGAGAUCGUUUACCUAGAUGGAACAAGAUCUGAAGAGGACCUCUUUUCUCAAGUGUAUGAAGAUGUCAAGCAAGAAUUAGAGAAGCAAAAUGGUGUGUGAGUAACAGCACAAAGAUGGAAUGCAGCAAGUCCUCCUGGGAUGGAUUAAGAAACUUGAAAGACAGCAAAACCCUAUGUUGGGGGAAAAAAAAGAAAGAAAGAAAGACACGUGGAGGGAUGUGCUGAAGAACAUUAACCAGAAUGCAGUAUGUCCUGCAGGACAGUGACAUCCCUUCUGUAUCUUUGUUCAUUUUUUUAAUCACACUUUUCACAAUCUGUAGAGCAAUAUGUGUCCAUGCCAUUGGACAGGAACCUCUCAUGAAUGCAAGAAUGGCUUGCUCUCAUUCUGCAGGAGGCACAGCACAGGUCAUGCACAAAGGGAUGUGCUGCCUGAAGACUUGUGCUUGGUAUUAAACAUGCCAGAAGAUGGAAAAGACAAGACUGGGGCUGGAGAAAUGGCUUAAAGGCUAAGGCUCCCAACCAGAAGUACUUGCCACAUGAGCAUGAGGACCGGAGUUUGGAUUCCUAGUACUCACAUGAAAACCCUGUCCUUCAAUAAACAGCAUUUGGCAUUAAAUAAAUAAAUAAGUAAAAAGAAAAAGCCUGGUGCAGCAGCACUCAACUGCUUUGCUAGGGCUGGAGAGACAGAGACCUGAGAGGACUCGCGCUGGUCUGCCACUCUACCUGAACUGACAAGCCCUGGGUGUAGUGAGAGACCCUGUCUCAAAAAAUAAGGUAGAAAGCAAUAAAGGAAGAUGCCCAAUGUCAAACUCUGGCCUUUGUAUCCAAGUGCAUAUUCAUGUGCACACACACAUGUACACAAACACAUGCACAUGUAUGCCUCACACACAGAGAAAUGAAGACAAGAUCAGCAAAGGUUGAGUAAAGACUAUGCACUGAGACGCACCGUCUAUCACCAAUGGAUACAAUUCAAGCUUUACCUUUUUAGGUACCAGUUUAACAUUUAAGAGUGAGUUUGUUGGCCUGGUGGUGGUGGCUCAUGCCUUUAAUCCCAGCACUUGGGAGGCAGAGGCAGGCGGAUCUCUGUGAGUUCGAAACCAGCCUGGGCUACCAAGUGAGUUCCAGGAAAGGCACAAAGCUACACAGAGAAACCCUGUCUCGAAAAAAAAAAAAGAGUGAGUUUGUUUAUUAUUUAGAAUCGUAAGAUCUUAGAAUGUUACUGUCUGUCCCGAUUCUGGCUCAGUAUGGACUCUGAAACCAGAGCCAGUGAGCUAGACCAUUCCACGCAGCUAGCUAAUGGUAGGAGCAGGGCCGGGCCAUCACCCCAGAGUACAUCAGCAUGGACAUAGAUUUUCCAUUUUAGAGCAGAGAACCUCAGAGAAAUAGCCUACUAAAAUGUACCACCUCUCCCUCCCUGGGAAGGAACCAAGCAAGGGCCCUGGGCAGAGGGGAUGGAGCUUUCUGUUCUGGAUUUGGAGCCUAGUCAGGGAAGCUAGCCAGCUCAUGAGGUUAGCCACAGGGCAGGGCACAAUGAUGAGCUCCUGUGCUGACCUUGGAUUUUUGGCACAGGCUAAUCCUUCAAUAUGCUGUCAGUGGUCCAAAGUGAAGGAAAUAUAGAUAUGGAAAAGGCAAGGUAGGCAUUGCUCACCACUUCUGUGUACAUACAGACAUUCAUUGAAGUUUUUAAUGGUAGCUCAGAGGCUCUAGUCAGAGUAGCAUGACCUUGACAACAUCAGGGACAGCGGGUCACUGAAGUGGGCAUACCUGAUAUGUUUGUGCCCAUGGAUCCAGACGCUGAGGAAGUUGAGACUAAAGCUUAGAGCAGAGAAAUCUCUGUGAGCUUUUCUUUUUCCCUCCCCCACCUGCCUCUCUAUGUCUCUCUCUGUGUUUGUGUGUGUGUGUGUGUGUGUGUGUGUGUGUGUGUGUGUGUGUGUGUGUCUUUCUGUCACACCCACUCAUGCACAUUUCUGAAACUUUACUAGUUCCUACCCUUUAGUGUAUCUGAGAAUCAUUUGGAAGAUUUGCUAAGAAUGUAGACUACUAGUCCCCACCUCAAACUUCUGUAGCUUGUAGUAGGGUCUUAGCGAUGACAUUUUAGGUGACGGUGGCAUCAGUGACCCAGGGAGGACCUCUUCAGUUACUCCUGUAGUCAGCAGAUAGCAGCUGCACACACUGAAGUGCUCACACUGACAGAGUGUGACGACUAACAGCUGUCAAUCAUCCCCAUAGUCACCGCUGGAAAAACAGCAGGGGGUUUGCCAGCCAGGAGCCUGCAGCAAACAUGGCUUCCCCCAGAGUCCAGAUCAUAGGUCUAGGGAAGGUAGCAGCCCCUAGAGCCAGCAGCUGUGGUGGAGUACCACGGGAGAGGAUGGACUCCCUCAAAAUUCUAAAGAAUGACCCUCCCGAAAAUGUGCCAGCAUGACCUCUGUCAUUCAGUGGGUUCUGGCAGUGCCCUCAGAGCAGUCAGAGAAGGCUCCUUGGGUGUCUUCUCAGCCCCACAGGAUGGGGAAGUUCCUCUUCUGUCUUAGUUCUUGGUGCUUCUUACUAGCCCCAAUUUUUUGAUUAUUUUUGUUUAUGUAAUAAAUAUCACUUGUGUUUAUGAAAUUAUGUGUAUAUCCUAUUGUUUCACAUUGUACCUACUUUAAACAUAUGGGUCUAUUU
RNA transcript from Peromyscus californicus insignis, 3307 nucleotides. It is a transcript of the gene named nicotinamide riboside kinase 1, with no coding region annotated. The transcript is spliced from 10 exons. NCBI's taxonomy places the organism in Eukaryota, Metazoa, Chordata, Mammalia, Rodentia, Cricetidae. The record is from RefSeq and is a predicted model, not a curated record.